This 464-nucleotide ribosomal RNA is filed under the name uncultured bacterium. RNAcentral describes it as "partial 16S ribosomal RNA". It matches the Rfam family "Bacterial small subunit ribosomal RNA", at positions 28 to 506 of the family's 1533-position model. The record is from RNAcentral.
GACGAACGCUGGCGGCGUGCUUAACACAUGCAAGUCGAACGGAAAGGCCCUGCUUGCAGGGUACUCGAGUGGCGAACGGGUGAGUAACACGUGGGUGAUCUGCCCUGCACUUCGGGAUAAGCCUGGGAAACUGGGUCUAAUACCGGAUAGGAGCCAUUUUUAGUGUGAUGGUUGGAAAGUUUUUUCGGUGUAGGAUUAGCUCGCGGCCUAUCAGCUUGUUGGUUGGGUAAUGGCCUACCAAGGCUGCGACGGGUAGCCGGCCUGGGCGGGGGGACUGCCACACUAGGCCGGGACUGAGGCCCGGACCCCAAUCGUACGGGAGGCAGGGGUAUGUUGUAUUAGGGGAGGAAGGCUGGUGUGAUCCAGCCGCGCGGGGGGAGAGAGGCAGGCGGUUGGAAACUACAUUUCUUUGGGACGAAGCUUUUUGUGACGGUACCUAGAUAAGAAGCACCGGCUAACUACGU